This is a non-coding RNA of Picea glauca (white spruce), 121 nucleotides long. Lineage: Eukaryota; Viridiplantae; Streptophyta; Pinopsida; Pinales; Pinaceae. The record is from Rfam.
ACAUGCUUACAACAUAGCGUUAAUGCACUGGAUCCCAUUAAAGCUUUGCAGUUAAGUGCACUCGGGCUAGAGUAGUACCGGUAUGAGUGACCACCCGGGAAGUCCUAGUAUUUUACAUGCC